Molecule: ribosomal RNA, 450 nt
Filed under: uncultured bacterium
Lineage: Bacteria
Description: partial 16S ribosomal RNA
Rfam family: Bacterial small subunit ribosomal RNA
Source: RNAcentral
GUAAGGAAUUUUGCGCAAUGGCCGCAAGGCUGACGCAGCAACGCCGCGUGGGUGAUGAAGGCCUUCGGGUCGUAAAGCCCUGUCAGGUGGGAAGAAAGGCUUGGAGAAGCAACGCUUUGAGUUUGACGGUACCACCAGAGGAAGCACCGGCUAACUCCGUGCCAGCAGCCGCGGUAAUACGGAGGGUGCGAGCGUUAUUCGGAAUUACUGGGCGUAAAGCGCGUGUAGGCGGGGAUGCAAGUCUGAUGUGAAAGCCCUGGGCUUAACCUGGGAAGUGCAUUGGAAACUGCAUUUCUUGAGUACUGGAGAGGAAGGGGGAAUUCCCGGUGUAGAGGUGAAAUUCGUAGAGAUCGGGAGGAAUACCAGUGGCGUAGGCGCCCUUCUGGACGGUAACUGACGCUGAGACGCGAAAGCGUGGGGAGCAAACAGGAUUAGAAACCCGUGUAGUCC